Long non-coding RNA from Priapulus caudatus, 703 nucleotides. RefSeq lists it as uncharacterized. The transcript is spliced from 4 exons. Lineage: Eukaryota; Metazoa; Priapulida; Priapulimorpha; Priapulimorphida; Priapulidae. The record is from RefSeq and is a predicted model, not a curated record.
CUGUGAGUCGAGAACGGCCAAGUGUUUUAAGUUCGUCUGUGAGAUCGGUGAGCUGCAGGCCGGCCAGACUGCGACCAUACAGGUGCGCGCCCGUCUGUGGAACAGCACGUUUGUAGAGGACUACAGUCACUUAGACUACAUUAAAAUUUUAUCGCACGCCGAGUUGAAGAUAGACCCGUCACUAAACGUGCAACAGAACACAAGCAACGACAGAGCAUACGUAGUAACGAAGGCACUACCUGAUGCUCAGUACGUAGAUGUGGAGCGGCCCGUGCCACUAUGGGUGAUCGUAGUCUCCGUACUAGCUGGAAUCAUAGUCCUCAUCCUCCUCGUUCUCGUUCUAUUUCUCUGCGGAUUCUUCAAGAGGUCCCGGCCGAAGACGGAGACAGUUAACGUGGAGAAGAGUGCCUGGCAAUGAUGAAGGAGAGGCUGCUAUGUGAAUCAAGGAGAGGCUGCGUGAUGGAGAGGCUAUGUGAAUCAAGGAGAGGCUGCGUGAUGGAGAGGCUGUUAUGUGAAUCAUGGAGAGACUGCGUGAUGGAGAGGCUAUGUGAAUCAUGGAGAGACUGCGACACGUACAAGCGUGACGCGGCGGCGGGGGGCGGAAAUCACGGAUGAUACGACCCUCCUGGAUACCAGAGAGAGAGAGAGAGCCGAGAGAAGAAGGGAGAGGGAGAGAGAGAGAGAGAGAGAGCGAGAGAGAGAG